This 1345-nucleotide ribosomal RNA is filed under the name uncultured bacterium. RNAcentral's name for it is "bacterial SSU rRNA". It matches the Rfam family "Bacterial small subunit ribosomal RNA", at positions 28 to 1381 of the family's 1533-position model. The record is from RNAcentral.
GACGAACGCUGGCGGCGUGCUUAACACAUGCAAGUCGAACGGAAAGGCCCUGCUUUUGUGGGGUGCUCGAGUGGCGAACGGGUGAGUAACACGUGAGUAACCUGCCCUUGACUUUGGGAUAACUUCAGGAAACUGGGGCUAAUACCGGAUAGGAGCUCCUGCUGCAUGGUGGGGGUUGGAAAGUUUCGGCGGUUGGGGAUGGACUCGCGGCUUAUCAGCUUGUUGGUGGGGUAGUGGCUUACCAAGGCUUUGACGGGUAGCCGGCCUGAGAGGGUGACCGGCCACAUUGGGACUGAGAUACGGCCCAGACUCCUACGGGAGGCAGCAGUGGGGAAUAUUGCACAAUGGGCGGAAGCCUGAUGCAGCAACGCCGCGUGCGGGAUGACGGCCUUCGGGUUGUAAACCGCUUUCGCCUGUGACGAAGCGUGAGUGACGGUAAUGGGUAAAGAAGCACCGGCUAACUACGUGCCAGCAGCCGCGGUGAUACGUAGGGUGCGAGCGUUGUCCGGAUUUAUUGGGCGUAAGGGCUCGUAGGUGGUUGAUCGCGUCGGAAGUGUAAUCUUGGGGCUUAACCCUGAGCGUGCUUUCGAUACGGGUUGACUUGAGGAAGGUAGGGGAGAAUGGAAUUCCUGGUGGAGCGGUGGAAUGCGCAGAUAUCAGGAGGAACACCAGUGGCGAAGGCGGUUCUCUGGGCCUUUCCUGACGCUGAGGAGCGAAAGCGUGGGGAGCGAACAGGCUUAGAUACCCUGGUAGUCCACGCUGUAAACGGUGGGUACUAGGUGUGGGGUCCAUUCCACGGGUUCCGUGCCGUAGCUAACGCUUUAAGUACCCCGCCUGGGGAGUACGGCCGCAAGGCUAAAACCCAAAGGAAUUGACGGGGCCCCGCACAAGCGGCGGAGCAUGCGGAUUAAUUCGAUGCAACGCGUAGAACCUUACCUGGGUUUGACAUGGAUCGGGAGCGCUCAGAGAUGGGUGUGCCUCUUUUGGGGUCGGUUCACAGGUGGUGCAUGGCUGUCGUCAGCUCGUGUCGUGAGAUGUUGGGUUAAGUCCCGCAACGAGCGCAACCCUUGUUCACUGUUGCCAGCACGUUAUGGUGGGGACUCAGUGGAGACCGCCGGGGUCAACUCGGAGGAAGGUGGGGAUGACGUCAAGUCAUCAUGCCCCUUAUGUCCAGGGCUUCACGCAUGCUACAAUGGCUGGUACAGAGAGUGGCGAGCCUGUGAGGGUGAGCGAAUCUCGGAAAGCCGGUCUCAGUUCGGAUUGGGGUCUGCAACUCGACCUCAUGAAGUCGGAGUCGCUAGUAAUCGCAGAUCAGCAACGCUGCGGUGAAUACGUUCCCGGGGCU